ACAAAUAUGGAAGACGGGCUGGGACCUCUCGGGGUUACAGCCUUGCUGAAUUAUUCACCCUUGUCUUUUGCGUACUUCUUGUUUCCUUGGUGGGUUCGCCCACCACUAGGACAAACAUAAACCUUUUGUAAUUGCAAUCAGCGUCAGUAACAAAUUAAUAAUUACAACUUUCAACAACGGAUCUCUUGGUUCUGGCAUCGAUGAAGAACGCAGCGAAAUGCGAUAAGUAGUGUGAAUUGCAGAAUUCAGUGAAUCAUCGAAUCUUUGAACGCACAUUGCGCCCUUUGGUAUUCCAAAGGGCAUGCCUGUUCGAGCGUCAUUUGUACCCUCAAGCUUUGCUUGGUGUUGGGCGUCUUGUCUCUAGCUUUGCUGGAGACUCGCCUUAAAGUAAUUGGCAGCCGGCCUACUGGUUUCGGAGCGCAGCACAAGUCGCACUCUCUAUCAGCAAAGGUCUAGCAUCCAUUAAGCCUUUUUUCAACUUUUGACCUCGGAUCAGGUAGGGAUACCCGCUGAACUUAAGCAUAUCAUAAGGCCGGAGGAAAUCUUGUUGGGGGUUG
This 557-nucleotide unclassified non-coding RNA is filed under the name Alternaria brassicae. Its description in RNAcentral is "sequence contains ITS1, 5.8S rRNA gene and ITS2". The stretch from base 166 to 319 matches the Rfam family "5.8S ribosomal RNA". Lineage: Eukaryota; Fungi; Ascomycota; Dothideomycetes; Pleosporales; Pleosporaceae. The record is from RNAcentral.